This 799-nucleotide small RNA is filed under the name Pan troglodytes (chimpanzee). RNAcentral's name for it is "retained intron". Lineage: Eukaryota; Metazoa; Chordata; Mammalia; Primates; Hominidae. The record is from RNAcentral.
GGGCGUCGCCCCAGCCUGAACCCCCGGCCCAGGGUCCUGGCGCGCAACGACAUGAGCAUCGCCGAGGAGCUGCUGUACCUGCGCGUGGUGCGUGGCCUAAUGGCCGCCAUGGGCAACACGGACCACAGCAACAGCCAGCGGCUGGCCAGCCUCACGCUGGAGUGCUUCGUGCAGAUGUUCCCCUUGGUGGCGGAGCACGUGCGCAAGUGCAUGGGGGAGGAACUCUACCAGCUCUUCCUGGCUGCCGACCCGCCCCCCACCUGCAACAUCCCUCUGCCAAGCCCAACUCCAAGUCCAGACUGCCCUGGCACCCCAGCCGGGUCCCCCUUGCUCCUGUCCUCAGAGCAACGCUGAGGACUUGUACAUGAAAAUAGACAGCAUUCAGGCGGACAUCUUGGCGGCCAACACAGUCAAUGUUACCAAAGGUGAGUGUGGGACGAGGGAAGCCGGGCGCAGGCGCCGCCAGCACAGCCUCACGCCUGCCUUUCCUGCCUGCAGCCCUGUGCCUCCAUGGCAGCUCCUACAGCAUGAACACUCUCUAUGGCUCGCGUGAUUCGGCUCAGAUGGCCUACCUCACACACUUCGAGGAGGAUGUAGAAUCAAAGGAGUAACAGCCCCUGUGGCAAACCAGGAAGGCCAAGGCUGCGGGGCAGGGAAGCCUGGCAAGAGGAAGGCGCCUGGGGUCAAGCUCAGAGCCACUCCACUUGGCUCCAAGGGGGAGACGGGGAUUAGGCACCCCAGAGGGGCAGAGGGAGAGCCGCUGGCUGCGAAGAGUCAAUAAACAGCCUUGAUACCUGUC